Molecule: long non-coding RNA, 154 nt
Organism: Rana temporaria (common frog)
Lineage: Eukaryota; Metazoa; Chordata; Amphibia; Anura; Ranidae
Exons: 2
Source: RefSeq, a predicted model, not a curated record
AAUUUAGCCAAUAAGAAGUGUUAUCGUUGUUUCACUGUAAGGAUGAGAAGGUGGGGGCUCCUCUCUUCUCACUCUCUUUUGCUUUUUCUCUCAACUUGUAAGCAUCACUAAAAUGUAUUGCUGCAUUUUGAAUUAAAUGAUCUUCCCUUUCAAA